CCUACGGGAGGCAGCAGUGGGGGAUAUUGCACAAUGGGGGAAACCCUGAUGCAGCGACGCCGCGUGUGGGAAGACGGUCCUCUGGAUUGUCAACAACUGUCCCCAGGGACGAAGAUGACGGUACCUGGGGAGGAAGCUCCGGCUAACUACGGGCCAGCAGCCGCGGUAAUACGGAGGGAGCGAGCUUUGUCGGGAAUUACUUGGUGGAAAGGGAGCGUAGGCGGGGAUGCAAGAUGGGUGUCAAAACUACCGGGUCAACUGGUAGUCGCACCCAAGAUUGCAGCUCUUGAUGGAAGUAGAGGCAGGCGGAAUUGCUAGUGUAGCGGUGAAAUGCGUAGAUAUUAGGAGGAACACCAGUGGCGAAGGCGGCCUGCUGGGCUUUUACUGACGCUGAGGCUCGAAAGUGUGGGGAGCAAACAGGAUUAGAUACCCUUGUAGUC
Molecule: ribosomal RNA, 440 nt
Filed under: uncultured bacterium
Lineage: Bacteria
Description: partial 16S ribosomal RNA
Rfam family: Bacterial small subunit ribosomal RNA
Source: RNAcentral